Molecule: ribosomal RNA, 1538 nt
Filed under: Escherichia coli
Lineage: Bacteria; Pseudomonadati; Pseudomonadota; Gammaproteobacteria; Enterobacterales; Enterobacteriaceae
Description: bacterial SSU rRNA
Rfam family: Bacterial small subunit ribosomal RNA
Source: RNAcentral
UUGAAGAGUUUGAUCAUGGCUCAGAUUGAACGCUGGCGGCAGGCCUAACACAUGCAAGUCGAACGGUAACAGAAAGAAGCUUGCUUCUUUGCUGACGAGUGGCGGACGGGUGAGUAAUGUCUGGGAAACUGCCUGAUGGAGGGGGAUAACUACUGGAAACGGUAGCUAAUACCGCAUAACGUCGCAAGACCAAAGAGGGGGACCUUCGGGCCUCUUGCCAUCGGAUGUGCCCAGAUGGGAUUAGCUUGUUGGUGGGGUAACGGCUCACCAAGGCGACGAUCCCUAGCUGGUCUGAGAGGAUGACCAGCCACACUGGAACUGAGACACGGUCCAGACUCCUACGGGAGGCAGCAGUGGGGAAUAUUGCACAAUGGGCGCAAGCCUGAUGCAGCCAUGCCGCGUGUAUGAAGAAGGCCUUCGGGUUGUAAAGUACUUUCAGCGGGGAGGAAGGGAGUAAAGUUAAUACCUUUGCUCAUUGACGUUACCCGCAGAAGAAGCACCGGCUAACUCCGUGCCAGCAGCCGCGGUAAUACGGAGGGUGCAAGCGUUAAUCGGAAUUACUGGGCGUAAAGCGCACGCAGGCGGUUUGUUAAGUCAGAUGUGAAAUCCCCGGGCUCAACCUGGGAACUGCAUCUGAUACUGGCAAGCUUGAGUCUCGUAGAGGGGGGUAGAAUUCCAGGUGUAGCGGUGAAAUGCGUAGAGAUCUGGAGGAAUACCGGUGGCGAAGGCGGCCCCCUGGACGAAGACUGACGCUCAGGUGCGAAAGCGUGGGGAGCAAACAGGAUUAGAUACCCUGGUAGUCCACGCCGUAAACGAUGUCGACUUGGAGGUUGUGCCCUUGAGGCGUGGCUUCCGGAGCUAACGCGUUAAGUCGACCGCCUGGGGAGUACGGCCGCAAGGUUAAAACUCAAAUGAAUUGACGGGGGCCCGCACAAGCGGUGGAGCAUGUGGUUUAAUUCGAUGCAACGCGAAGAACCUUACCUGGUCUUGACAUCCACAGAACUUUCCAGAGAUGGAUUGGUGCCUUCGGGAACUGUGAGACAGGUGCUGCAUGGCUGUCGUCAGCUCGUGUUGUGAAAUGUUGGGUUAAGUCCCGCAACGAGCGCAACCCUUAUCCUUUGUUGCCAGCGGUCCGGCCGGGAACUCAAAGGAGACUGCCAGUGAUAAACUGGAGGAAGGUGGGGAUGACGUCAAGUCAUCAUGGCCCUUACGACCAGGGCUACACACGUGCUACAAUGGCGCAUACAAAGAGAAGCGACCUCGCGAGAGCAAGCGGACCUCAUAAAGUGCGUCGUAGUCCGGAUUGGAGUCUGCAACUCGACUCCAUGAAGUCGGAAUCGCUAGUAAUCGUGGAUCAGAAUGCCACGGUGAAUACGUUCCCGGGCCUUGUACACACCGCCCGUCACACCAUGGGAGUGGGUUGCAAAAGAAGUAGGUAGCUUAACCUUCGGGAGGGCGCUUACCACUUUGUGAUUCAUGACUGGGGUGAAGUCGUAACAAGGUAACCGUAGGGGAACCUGCGGUUGGAUCACCUCCUU